RNAcentral lists this ribosomal RNA (253 nucleotides) under uncultured bacterium. Its description in RNAcentral is "partial 16S ribosomal RNA". It matches the Rfam family "Bacterial small subunit ribosomal RNA", at positions 524 to 776 of the family's 1533-position model. The record is from RNAcentral.
UACGGAGGGUGCAAGCGUUAUCCGGAUUCACUGGGUUUAAAGGGUGCGUAGGCGGAUAUGUAAGUCCGUGGUGAAAUCUCUGGCUUAACCCGGAAACUGCCAUGGAUACUAUGUGUCUUGAAUGUUGUUGAGGUGAGCGGAAUAUGUCAUGUAGCGGUGAAAUGCUUAGAUAUGACAUAGAACACCAAUUGCGAAGGCAGCUCACUAAGCAAAUAUUGACGCUGAGGCACGAAAGCGUGGGGAGUCAAACAGG